AUUGAACGCUGGCGGCAGGCCUAACACAUGCCAGUCGAGCGGAUGAAGGGAGCUUGCUCCUGGAUUCAGCGGCGGACGGGUGAGUAAUGCCUAGGAAUCUGCCUGGUAGUGGGGGAUAACGUCCGGAAACGGGCGCUAAUACCGCAUACGUCCUGAGGGAGAAAGUGGGGGAUCUUCGGACCUCACGCUAUCAGAUGAGCCUAGGUCGGAUUAGCUAGUUGGUGGGGUAAAGGCCUACCAAGGCGACGAUCCGUAACUGGUCUGAGAGGAUGAUCAGUCACACUGGAACUUAGACACGGUCCAGACUCCUACGGGAGGCAGCAGUGGGGAAUAUUUGACAAUGGGCGAAAGCCUGAUCCAGCCAUGCCGCGUGUGUGAAGAAGGUCUUCGGAUUGUAAAGCACUUUAAGUUGGGAGGAAGGGCAGUAAGUUAAUACCUUGCUGUUUUGACGUUACCAACAGAAUAAGCACCGGCUAACUUCGUG
Molecule: ribosomal RNA, 484 nt
Filed under: uncultured bacterium
Lineage: Bacteria
Description: partial 16S ribosomal RNA
Rfam family: Bacterial small subunit ribosomal RNA
Source: RNAcentral